UAGCUCAGGUGGUUAGAGCGCACCCCUGAUAAGGGUGAGGUCGGUGGUUCAAGUCCACNN
RNAcentral lists this transfer RNA (60 nucleotides) under Salmonella enterica subsp. enterica serovar Enteritidis str. SA20100239. Its description in RNAcentral is "tRNA-Ile (GAT) (tRNA-Ile-GAT-2-1)". It matches the Rfam family "tRNA", at positions 8 to 63 of the family's 71-position model. Rfam says of the family: Transfer RNA (tRNA) molecules are approximately 80 nucleotides in length. Their secondary structure includes four short double-helical elements and three loops (D, anti-codon, and T loops). The record is from RNAcentral. Lineage: Bacteria; Pseudomonadati; Pseudomonadota; Gammaproteobacteria; Enterobacterales; Enterobacteriaceae.